UCGGAUUUGUAAACCUCUGUCCUGUAUGAAGAGGAGAAGACGGUAGUACAGGAGGAAGCCCCCGGCUAACUACGUGCCAGCAGCCGCGGUAAUACGUAGGGGGCGAGCGUUGUCCGGAAUGAUUGGGCGUAAAGGGCGCGUAGGCGGCCGCUUAAGUCUGGAGUGAAAGUCCUGUUUUCAAGAUGGGAAUUGCUUUGGAUACUGGGGGGCUUGAGUGCAGGAGAGGUUAUCGGAAUUCCCGGUGUAGCGGUGAAAUGCGUAGAGAUCGGGAGGAACACCAGUGGCGAAGGCGGGUAACUGGACUGCAACUGACGCUGAGGCGCGAAAGUGUGGGGAGCAAACAGGAUUAGAUACCCUGGUAGUCCACACUGUAAACGAUGAAUGCUAGGUGUAAGAGGUAUCGACCCCUUUUGUGCCGGAGUCAACACAAUAAGCAUUCCGCCUGGGGAGUACGGCCGCAAGGUUGAAACUCAAAGGAAUUGACGGGGGCCCGCACAAGCAGCGGAGCAUGUGGUUUAAUUCGACGCAACGCGAAGAACCUUACCAGGUCUUGACAUCCGCUUAAACUGCUGGAGACAGUAGGUCUCUUCGGAGGAAGCGAGACAGGUGGUGCAUGGUUGUCGUCAGCUCGUGUCGUGAGAUGUUGGGUUAAGUCCCGCAACGAGCGCAACCCUUGCUGAUAGUUACUAACGAGCAAAGUCGAGGACUCUAUCAGGACUGCCGGGGACAACUCGGAGGAAGGUGGGGACGACGUCAAAUCAUCAUGCCCCUUAUGACCUGGGCUACACACGUGCUACAAUGGCCGUAACAGAGAGGGGCGAAGCUGUAAGGUGGAGCAGAUCUCAAAAAAGCGGUCUCAGUUCGGAUUGUGGGCUGCAACCCGCCCACAUGAAGUCGGAGUUGCUAGUAAUCGCGGAUCAGCAUGCCGCGGUGAAUACGUUCCCGGGCCUUGUACACACCGCCCGUCACACCAUGGGAGUUGAUAGCACCCGAAACAGGUGAGGUAACCGAAAGGGGCCAGCCUGCUAAGGUGAGAUCAAUGACUGGGGUGAAGUCGUAA
Molecule: ribosomal RNA, 1060 nt
Filed under: uncultured bacterium
Lineage: Bacteria
Description: bacterial SSU rRNA
Rfam family: Bacterial small subunit ribosomal RNA
Source: RNAcentral